This 1346-nucleotide ribosomal RNA is filed under the name uncultured bacterium. Its description in RNAcentral is "bacterial SSU rRNA". It matches the Rfam family "Bacterial small subunit ribosomal RNA", at positions 28 to 1381 of the family's 1533-position model. The record is from RNAcentral.
GACGAACGUUGGCGGCGUGCUUAACACAUGCAAGUCGAACGGAAAGGCCCUGCUUUUGUGGGGUGCUCGAGUGGCGAACGGGUGAGUAACACGUGAGUAACCUGCCCUUGACUUUGGGAUAACUUCAGGAAACUGGGGCUAAUACCGGAUAGGAGCUCCUGCUGCAUGGUGGGGGUUGGAAAGUUUCGGCGGUUGGGGAUGGACUCGCGGCUUAUCAGCUUGUUGGUGGGGUAGUGGCUUACCAAGGCUUUGACGGGUAGCCGGCCUGAGAGGGUGACCGGCCACAUUGGGACUGAGAUACGGCCCAGACUCCUACGGGAGGCAGCAGUGGGGAAUAUUGCACAAUGGGCGGAAGCCUGAUGCAGCAACGCCGCGUGCGGGAUGACGGCCUUCGGGUUGUAAACCGCUUUCGCCUGUGACGAAGCGUGAGUGACGGUAAUGGGUAAAGAAGCACCGGCUAACUACGUGCCAGCAGCCGCGGUGAUACGUAGGGUGCGAGCGUUGUCCGGAUUUAUUGGGCGUAAAGGGCUCGUAGGUGGUUGAUCGCGUCGGAAGUGUAAUCUUGGGGCUUAACCCUGAGCGUGCUUUCGAUACGGGUUGACUUGAGGAAGGUAGGGGAGAAUGGAAUUCCUGGUGGAGCGGUGGAAUGCGCAGAUAUCAGGAGGAACACCAGUGGCGAAGGCGGUUCUCUGGGCCUUUCCUGACGCUGAGGAGCGAAAGCGUGGGGAGCGAACAGGCUUAGAUACCCUGGUAGUCCACGCUGUAAACGGUGGGUACUAGGUGUGGGGUCCAUUCCACGGGUUCCGUGCCGUAGCUAACGCUUUAAGUACCCCGCCUGGGGAGUACGGCCGCAAGGCUAAAACUCAAAGGAAUUGACGGGGCCCCGCACAAGCGGCGGAGCAUGCGGAUUAAUUCGAUGCAACGCGUAGAACCUUACCUGGGUUUGACAUGGAUCGGGAGUGCUCAGAGAUGGGUGUGCCUCUUUUGGGGUCGGUUCACAGGUGGUGCAUGCCUGUCGUCAGCUCGUGUCGUGAGAUGUUGGGUUAAGUCCCGCAACGAGCGCAACCCUUGUUCACUGUUGCCAGCACGUUAUGGUGGGGACUCAGUGGAGACCGCCGGGGUCAACUCGGAGGAAGGUGGGGAUGACGUCAAGUCCUCAUGCCCCUUAUGUCCAGGGCUUCACGCAUGCUACAAUGGCUGGUACAGAGAGUGGCGAGCCUGUGAGGGUGAGCGAAUCUCGGAAAGCCGGUCUCAGUUCGGAUUGGGGUCUGCAACUCGACCUCAUGAAGUCGGAGUCGCUAGUAAUCGCAAAUCAGCAACGCUGCGGUGAAUACGUUCCCGGGGCC